Brassica napus (rape) is the source of this 2712-nucleotide long non-coding RNA. RefSeq lists it as uncharacterized. The record is from RefSeq and is a predicted model, not a curated record. Lineage: Eukaryota; Viridiplantae; Streptophyta; Magnoliopsida; Brassicales; Brassicaceae. The transcript is spliced from 2 exons.
AAGGGUUUUCAUUAAUAAAGAAGGUAGCAGAUACAUAAGGCAAGCAAGCACCAUAUUACAUAAUAUAAGAAGCAGAGAGAAGGAUCAGAUACAUCACUGAUAGAUUAAAGAUAAGAAGAGCAGAUGAAGACUGGUGAUUAUGGGGGAUCGAACCAGAACUGAGCAAGGCGAGGACCUAAGGGAUGGCUAAGGGACAGUAAGGCUGAGCAUUUAUCUCUUAGAGCAGCAGAUAUGUAUCCCAUUAUACGAACAGGCGGCAGCGUCAAACCGUCAUGUAACCGUCUAUUCCUCUCAUUCCAGAGCUCAUAGAUAGCAGCCUGCCAUACUUGAAGAAUUGCCAGUUUAACCAUAGAAUCCGAGUGGGCAUUAGGGAGCCAUAGCAAGAUAUCAGUCCACACCAGGGGCACUGAAGGCAAGUGAAACCUCCGAAGCAUUGAUCGCCACACCACUCCAGAGAAAGAGCAUUCAAAGAAUAGAUGAUUGCGCGAUUCAUCUCCUUCUCCACAUAACAAACAAAUAGGUUCCAGAUCAACAUUCCAAGAGACAAGGCGAUCAAAGGUUGGAUUUCUAUUUAGAAUAAAUAGCCAAGUAGUAGUUGAAUGCCUAGGAACUGAAGCCUUAUGCCACACCAAAGGAGCCCAAUGCUUUUGAGGCAAUGACCUUCUGAUAACGUUGAAAACCUGCUUGGAGCAGAAACUUUUACAUUUCGAUCCAUUCACUGACCAAACCGCCUGGUCUGAGCCUGUAGUCAAGUGCAGAGUUGUGAUAUAGGAUAGAAGCAGAACUAGAUUCUCUGAUCUUGCAUUUGGAAGCGUCCAUCCAUUACCCACUACAAAAAAAGUCUACAUUGAUAGCAUAUUAUUAUAGCACGUUUUACUGAACUGCUAUCGUUGAUGAUUCAAAAUUGUUCGUAUUAUAUAAUAGCAUUAGAUAAACGCUAUGAUAGAGUAAAACCUAAAAUAGCACUUAAUUAAUGUUGUUUUAAAAAUUAAGCGAGCGAGAAAAUAAAAUCAUUGAUUCCGCCAAUAUUUAUUGGAAAAUGCGCCAAAAACAUUACUUAAUCAGCUUCAAAAAUGCUAUCAAAGACAUAUAAUAGCAUUUUUCUAACGCUAAGAAAAACUAAUUGAACCCCUAAACCCUAAACAUGGUUUCAAACUCUAAACUCUAAAGAUAACCCUUAAAACUCUAAUCUUUUCAUACUAUAACUUUAAAUCUUUAAAUUAAACUAAAAAUUUAAUCUUCUUAAUCUUAAACUAUAUUUUUCUAAACACAAAUCUUUAAUCUUUAAUCAAACUCUUUAUCAUGAAUCUUAACUUCAAACAUAAUCUAUACAUUCAAUACUCUAGAAAUAUUUAUAACUAAGUCUCACCACUAGAUUAAUAAUUAAUAAUUAAUAUAUUUAAUAAUUCAUUAUAACAUUUACUACCACUAAAUUAAAAAUUUAAAUUACAAACCUUAUAUCUAAACUCCAAACCAUAUUCGGAUAUUCCUCAAACCCCAUCUGAACCCUAUGUACUAACCAUAAAUUAUAAAUAUACCCAGUAAAACUAAUAUUUUCUAACUUAAACACCAAAUCUUAACACAUAAACUACAAAUCUAAUUUUUAAAAUUUUAUUCUCAAAUUUCACUAUAAACUAAACAUAAACUCUAAAUAUUCUUUUUUAAAACUGAUAUAAUCAAAAUAUACUUAUUAAAUAUAACUCUCAUAUAUGCUAUACACCUUAUAUAAUAAACACUAAACUUUAAACUAAACUCUAAUCACUAUAAAUUAAUCUUAAACUUUAAAAUUAAAUUUCAAUACUAUAUCCCAAUAUCAAUCACAAAGUUUAAAUUUUUAAAUAUAAAUCUAAACAAUUUAAAUUGUGAAUUCUAAAUCUUAUAUUUUUUUCUCAAAAUAAUUCAUAUUAACGAAAAUUUAUCAUAAAUAUUUUUUUAAUAUUAAAAACAAAAUAGAAUAAGUAAUCAAUGGUGUUAAAAAAAGAAUAGGAAAACAAAUACAUAACAUCUGAUUGGUCAAUAGAAAGUAGCCUAUCACAUAGAAGGGUGAGGAUCAUGCUUUGUGUAACCACAACCAUUGAUAAAAAUGAAUCUAACGGACCACAAUGCACUAAGAUAAAAAAAAUACACUUUUUCUUCUCAUCUCUUUCUUUCUUCCUCUCCUCUGACUUCUUCGUAUCCUCUAAUCUAUCUCUCAAUAUGCCUCCUCCGUGAAUCUAAACUGUCUCAACAGCCAACACCAUCACCUCCGACAGAAAUGCAGAUUUAAAACAAGAAGAAGAUAGGAAACAGAUCGGGAGGGAGGAGUCUGAAGAAGCUUGACAGCAGAGGAGGUAGAAGAAUCGUGAUGGUGGAGGAAUAAAAAGCCUGACGGCGGAGAAGGCAUGGCCAGCAUAUAAGUUCGUCGCUCAGCCGUAACACCGGUGGCUCUACCACCAGAUUGAGUCUUCGCUUCAGCCAUGGCAUUCGGAGCCGGUGGAGGUGGAGGUGGAGGUGUAAAAACCUGAUGGAGUUGACGAAGUCUCAUGGAGGAGAGGAUGCGGCUGGAUUCUUCUUUUCUGUUUUUAGGUUUAGCUUUUUUUAUUUGGUUUAGUUUAAACCGAGUUGGAAUUGUAGUGGUUUGACUUUAGCUUUUAAUUUCUGGUUUAAUUUUGUAAACCGGAAUUUAUUUGUAAACCAAUCUUAAUUCAUAAAUAAAAUUUAUUUUAUUUUUAA